UACGUAGGGUGCAAGCGUUGUCUGGAAUUAUUGGGCGUAAAGAGCUCGUAGGCGGUCUGUUGCGUCGGCUGUGAAAACCCGGGGCUCAACCCCGGGCCUGCAGCCGAUACGGGCAGACUAGAGUUCGGCAGGGGAGACUGGAAUUCCUGGUGUAGCGGUGAAAUGCGCAGAUAUCAGGAGGAACACCGAUGGCGAAGGCAGGUCUCUGGGCCAUAACUGACGCUGAGAAGCGAAAGCAUGGGGAGCGAACAGG
RNAcentral lists this ribosomal RNA (253 nucleotides) under uncultured bacterium. Its description in RNAcentral is "partial 16S ribosomal RNA". It matches the Rfam family "Bacterial small subunit ribosomal RNA", at positions 524 to 776 of the family's 1533-position model. The record is from RNAcentral.